AUUUACUAGUUUACAACUUUGUGACAUACAGAGAUGUCUUACUCAUACGUUCAUCAUCUUGGAUGAUUUAUAUUCUUAUCUUCUUCUUAUAACCACUACUACAAAAUAGUAAAUAGACAACACUUAAACCACAACGUUUUUUAUAAAAAUGUUGAGGUAUUUUUUUCACAAUAUUUUUUAAUAAAACGUUGUAGAUACAUAUAAAAAAUGUUAUCUAUUUAAAAGAGCAUUUUUUUGAUUUUAACUACAUAAUGUUUUUUAAAAAAAACGUUAUCUUAUGCAAAAAACACAGAGCAAUGAAUAAAAACGUGGAACAAAAUUUGAAAUUAAAACGCGACCAUACUUUCUUCUCUCCUAUCUCUGUACGCCAGAUCUGAAAUUCCUCACUCCUCAGCCUCUUUCCUCUCGACUGUGGCCUCUCUUCCCCAUCACCGUCCCUCAAACUGGUUCAAUCGUCCCCUAACUGGUCCAAUCGUCCCCUGAAGGAGACAAACCAGUCCCAAGAUUUCGAUGAACAAGAAGACCAGUCAUCGAAGAGUCGAGAAUACGUGACGAAAAAGAGAAAAUGGAGAACCUACUCCGUCGACUCACGUCAGGGAGAGUUCCGCUGCGAGUACUCGACGUUUUAAUUAAGGGAAACACCAAGACGAAGGACCAACUCAUCGAAGCCCUAAAAACUGAUCGAUGCGAGUCCGCUCCUAGGUUUGUUUUAAUUGAUUUUUGAUGAAUAAAUUUUCAAGUUCUGAGUUUUUAUUGUGUUUUAUAGCUGAGUAUUGAUGUUUGCAGUAGGAAUUUAUUUUUACAAACCUCUUUUAAGUGGUUAGGUAUUGGAUUUUCAUUUUCUGCAGUGAGACUAAUGGUUUAAGUAUGUUUUGUUAUUUUGCUAUUAAAUUGAUGGUUUUGCGAUUUGGGCUUGAGAAAUUGGGGUAAUUUAUUUUUGAGGUUUUUGAUUUGUUUUGUUUAGGUCAAGACUGGAAUGACGAUGACUGAAAAGAUAUUGGCUAGGGCUUCUGAGAAACCCCAAUUGAGCCCCGAUGAAAAUGUUUGGGUUAAUUUUGAACACAAUAAUCCGUGACCUGUGAUGAACCAAACACCUGCAAGUACAUAAUAUGAAAUCAAGAUGAGAAUUUUUUUAAUUAGAAACAAUUAUUCCUAGAAUAUUUUUUCCCAGUGAAGUGACAUAAUAAUGUUAUUACAUGUUUAAGUUACCUGGAUUAUCUGCACGAAAUCUAAUAGAUGUCCAUCCACCGGAUGGUACGCCAAUUGUGUUCCUCUCAACAGGGUCAACAAGAUUAAAUUUCUUGGAAUCUGUCUUGGAUUAAAGUUUCCAAGUCCUCUCCCAACCUCGAAGAAAUUGAAUCCAUAUAGAUGAAUUGGAUGGUUCUCCGGGGAUAUAAUACCAGUGUCUUAAAGAAACACUUGGACUGUGGAGUUGUAAGACAACCUAUAAAGUUUUGUUCCGGUUGUGGUUCCUAAGUUUGCCGG
Molecule: long non-coding RNA, 1485 nt
Filed under: Panax ginseng (ginseng)
Lineage: Eukaryota; Viridiplantae; Streptophyta; Magnoliopsida; Apiales; Araliaceae
Description: long non-coding RNA (PGIN_LNC008635)
Source: RNAcentral